Molecule: ribosomal RNA, 321 nt
Filed under: uncultured eukaryote
Lineage: Eukaryota
Description: partial 18S ribosomal RNA
Rfam family: Eukaryotic small subunit ribosomal RNA
Source: RNAcentral
CCCUUAGAUGUCCUGGGCCGCACGCGCGUUACACUGAUGCAUUCAACGAGCUUAUAACCUUGGCCGAGAGGCCUGGGCAAUCUUGUUAACGUGCAUCGUGAUAGGGAUAGAUUAUUGAAAUUAUUAAUCUUGAACGAGGAAUUCCUAGUAAACGCAGAUCAUCAAUCUGCAUUGAUUACGUCCCUGCCCUUUGUACACACCGCCCGUCGCACCUACCGAUUGAGUGCUCCGGUGAACAAUUUGGACUGCUUUGAUUCGAUUAGAAUUUGAAGCGGAAAGUUUAGUGAACCUUAUCACUUAGAGGAAGGAGAAGUCGUAACA